UAAAGAGCUCGUAGGUGGUUUGUCGCGUUGUUCGUGAAAUCUCACGGCUUAACUGUGAGCGUGCGGGCGAUACGGGCAGACUUGAGUACUGCAGGGGAGACUGGAAUUCCUGGUGUAGCGGUGGAAUGCGCAGAUAUCAGGAGGAACACCGGUGGCGAAGGCGGGUCUCUGGGCAGUAACUGACGCUGAGGAGCGAAAGCGUGGGGAGCGAACAGGAUUAGAUACCCUGGUAGUCCACGCCGUAAACGGUGGGUACUAGGUGUGGGUUUCCUUCCUUGGGAUCCGUGCCGUAGCUAACGCAUUAAGUACCCCGCCUGGGGAGUACGGCCGCAAGGCUAAAACUCAAAGAAAUUGACGGGGGCCCGCACAAGCGGCGGAGCAUGUGGAUUAGUUCGAUGCAACGCGAAGAACCUUACCUGGGUUUGACAUGCACAGGACGCCGGCAGAGAUGUCGGUUCCCUUGUGGCCUGUGUGCAGGUGGUGCAUGGCUGUCGUCAGCUCGUGUCGUGAGAUGUUGGGUUAAGUCCCGCAACGAGCGCAACCCUUGUCUCAUGUUGCCAGCGGGUAAUGCCGGGGACUCGUGAGAGACUGUCCGGGGUCAACUCGGAGGAAGGUGGGGAUGACGUCAAGUCAUCAUGCCCCUUAUGUCCAGGGCUUCACACAUGCUACAAUGGCCGGUACAAAGGGCUGCGAUGCCGCGAGGUUAAGCGAAUCCUUUUAAAGCCGGUCUCAGCUCGGAUCGGGGUCUGCAACUCGACCCCGUGAAGUCGGAGUCGCUAG
RNAcentral lists this ribosomal RNA (780 nucleotides) under uncultured Mycobacterium sp. RNAcentral describes it as "bacterial SSU rRNA". It matches the Rfam family "Bacterial small subunit ribosomal RNA", at positions 561 to 1338 of the family's 1533-position model. The record is from RNAcentral. Lineage: Bacteria; Bacillati; Actinomycetota; Actinomycetes; Mycobacteriales; Mycobacteriaceae.